Molecule: non-coding RNA, 221 nt
Organism: Cajanus cajan (pigeon pea)
Lineage: Eukaryota; Viridiplantae; Streptophyta; Magnoliopsida; Fabales; Fabaceae
Source: RefSeq, a predicted model, not a curated record
GGGUUAGUCAUUAGUGUAACUUCUGGCCAAUAGAAACAGUAGGUGUAUCCGAAACGCAAGCGAGGAAACGAAACCUUAUUCUCAAAAUUAGCGAAGAAGACACGCAGGAUCACUCACAAUGGCUGACUCUUCCAUUAUCAACGGUUCCCAUUCCAGCCCCCAUCCAGAUUAUGCCGAGAUUGUUGUGGUGCGUCAUGGCGAAACAGCAUGGAAUGCCACUG